UACGUAGGUGGCGAGCGUUGUCCGGAAUUAUUGGGCGUAAAGAGCUCGUAGGCGGUUUGUCGCGUCUGUCGUGAAAGCUCGGGGCUUAACCCCAAGUCUGCGGUGGAUACGGGCAGACUAGAGGCAGGUAGGGGAGAACGGAAUUCCCGGUGUAGCGGUGAAAUGCGCAGAUAUCGGGAGGAACACCGGUGGCGAAGGCGGUUCUCUGGGCCUGUACUGACGCUGAGGAGCGAAAGCGUGGGGAGCGAACAGG
This 253-nucleotide ribosomal RNA is filed under the name uncultured bacterium. Its description in RNAcentral is "partial 16S ribosomal RNA". It matches the Rfam family "Bacterial small subunit ribosomal RNA", at positions 524 to 776 of the family's 1533-position model. The record is from RNAcentral.